Molecule: transfer RNA, 62 nt
Filed under: Coleoptera sp. ACP-2013
Lineage: Eukaryota; Metazoa; Arthropoda; Insecta; Coleoptera
Description: tRNA-His
Source: RNAcentral
UAUUUAAGUAGUUUAUAUAAAAUAUUAGUUUGUGGAUCUAAAGAAAUUUAAUAAUCUUAAAU